GAUGAACGCUGGCGGCGUGCCUAAUACAUGCAAGUCGAGCGAACGGACGAGAAGCUUGCUUCUCUGAUGUUAGCGGCGGACGGGUGAGUAACACGUGGAUAACCUACCUAGAAGACUGGGAUAACUUCGGGAAACCGGAGCUAAUACAGGAUAAUAUUUUGAACCGCAGGGUUCAAAAGUGAAAGACGGUCUUGCUGUCACUUAUAGAUGGAUCCGCGUUGCAUUAGCUAGUUGGUAAGGUAACGGCUUACCAAGGCAACGAUGCAUAGCCGACCUGAGAGGGUGAUCGGCCACACUGGAACUGAGACACGGUCCAGACUCCUACGGGAGGCAGCAGUAGGGAAUCUUGCGCAAUGGGCGAAAGCCUGACGGAGCCACGCCGCGUGAGUGAUGAAGGUCUUCGGAUCGUAAAACUCUGUUAUUAGGGAAGAACAUAUGUGUGAGUAACUGUGCACAUCUUGACGGUACCUAAUCAGAAAGCCACGGCUAACUACGUG
Molecule: ribosomal RNA, 497 nt
Filed under: uncultured bacterium
Lineage: Bacteria
Description: partial 16S ribosomal RNA
Rfam family: Bacterial small subunit ribosomal RNA
Source: RNAcentral